GUCCCGUUAACGAGCGCAACCCUUGUCCUUAGUUACCAGCACGUUAUGGUGGGCACUCUAAGGAGACUGCCGGUGACAAACCGGAGGAAGGUGGGGAUGACGUCAAGUCAUCAUGGCCCUUACGGCCUGGGCUACACACGUGCUACAAUGGUCGGUACAAAGGGUUGCCAAGCCGCGAGGUGGAGCUAAUCCCAUAAAACCGAUCGUAGUCCGGAUCGCAGUCUGCAACUCGACUGCGUGAAGUCGGAAUCGCUAGUAAUCGUGAAUCAGAAUGUCACGGUGAAUACGUUCCCGGGCCUU
This 300-nucleotide ribosomal RNA is filed under the name uncultured Pseudomonas sp. RNAcentral describes it as "bacterial SSU rRNA". It matches the Rfam family "Bacterial small subunit ribosomal RNA", at positions 1084 to 1382 of the family's 1533-position model. Lineage: Bacteria; Pseudomonadati; Pseudomonadota; Gammaproteobacteria; Pseudomonadales; Pseudomonadaceae. The record is from RNAcentral.